This 506-nucleotide ribosomal RNA is filed under the name uncultured bacterium. Its description in RNAcentral is "partial 16S ribosomal RNA". It matches the Rfam family "Bacterial small subunit ribosomal RNA", at positions 30 to 523 of the family's 1533-position model. The record is from RNAcentral.
AUUGAACGCUGGCGGCAGGCCUAACACAUGCAAGUCGGGCGGUAACAGGAAUCAGCUUGCUGAUUCGCUGACGAGCGGCGGACGGGUGAGUAAUGUCUGGGAAACUGCCUGAUGGAGGGGGAUAACUACUGGAAACGGUAGCUAAUACCGCAUAACGUCUACGGACCAAAGUGGGGGACCUUCGGGCCUCAUGCCAUCAGAGGUGCCCAGAUGGGAUUAGCUAGUAGGUGGGGUAACGGCUCACCUAGGCGACGAUCCCUAGCUGGUCUGAGAGGAUGACCAGCCACACUGGAACUGAGACACGGUCCAGACUCCUACGGGAGGCAGCAGUGGGGAAUAUUGCACAAUGGGCGCAAGCCUGAUGCAGCCAUGCCGCGUGUAUGAAGAAGGCCUUCGGGUUGUAAAGUACUUUCAGCGGGGAGGAAGGUGUUGUGGUUAAUAACCGCAGCAAUUGACGUUACCCGCAGAAGAAGCACCGGCUAACCCCGUGCCAGCCGCCGCCGUAA